This 476-nucleotide ribosomal RNA is filed under the name uncultured organism. Its description in RNAcentral is "partial 16S ribosomal RNA". It matches the Rfam family "Bacterial small subunit ribosomal RNA", at positions 332 to 799 of the family's 1533-position model. The record is from RNAcentral.
UACACUCCUGCGGGAGGCAGCAGUGGGGAAUUUUGGACAAUGGGCGAAAGCCUGAUCCAGCAAUGCCGCGUGCAGGAUGAAGGCCUUCGGGUUGUAAACUGCUUUUGUACGGAACGAAAAAGCUCCUUCUAAUACAGGGGGCCCAUGACGGUACCGUAAGAAUAAGCACCGGCUAACUACGUGCCAGCAGCCGCGGUAAUACGUAGGGUGCGAGCGUUAAUCGGAAUUACUGGGCGUAAAGCGUGCGCAGGCGGUUAUGUAAGACAGAUGUGAAAUCCCCGGGCUCAACCUGGGAACUGCAUUUGUGACUGCAUGGCUAGAGUACGGUAGAGGGGGAUGGAAUUCCGCGUGUAGCAGUGAAAUGCGUAGAUAUGCGGAGGAACACCGAUGGCGAAGGCAAUCCCCUGGACCUGUACUGACGCUCAUGCACGAAAGCGUGGGGAGCAAACAGGAUUAGAUACCCUAGUAGUCCCAUG